This 1099-nucleotide ribosomal RNA is filed under the name Aphis sanguisorbicola. Its description in RNAcentral is "partial 16S large subunit ribosomal RNA". The record is from RNAcentral. Lineage: Eukaryota; Metazoa; Arthropoda; Insecta; Hemiptera; Aphididae.
UUUUUUAUAAAAAUAAUUUAUUUAUUUAAUGUUUUAGUAUUUAUUAAAAAUUAAUUUUUAGAUUUAUAGUUCAAUAGUAUUGUGAAAGAAAUUGUUAAAUUUUAUAAAGAAUUUAUUAGUACCUUUUGUAUCAGGGUUGAUUAAAAUUUUUAAUUUUUUUUUAAUUUCUCAAAAUUUAUAGAGUUAAUUUUAUUAUUAAUUUAUUGUGUUAAAAAUAUUUAGAAAAUAAUAUUAGUUUUGAAAUUUAAUUCGUUAUAUUAUAUUUAGUUAUUUAAGAUUUAAAUUUAAUUUAAAAUUUUAAAAGUUAUAUUGAUUUUAUUGAUUAAUAUUUUAAAUUUAAAUUAUUUUAGGGAUAAGCUUGAAAUUUUUAUAUAAUAAUUUAUUUAUUUUAAUAAUUUAUAGGAAUAGAAAUUUUUAUUUUAAGUUUGUAAAAAUUUAUUAUUUAUUUAAUUUUAAUUUAUUAUAUUUAUAUUUAUUUUUUUUAUUAAAUUUUAUUAAUUAAUAUUUAAUUAAUAGUAAUAAUGAUUAAAUUAGUAUAAUUAAUAUAUUUAUAAAUUAUGAAUUCGGCAAAAAUUAUUUUCAUCUGUUUAACAAAAACAUUGUAUUAAGUUUAAUUUAAUAUAGGAUCUGCUCAAUGAUUUAUUAAAUAGCUGCAGUAUUUUGACUGUGCAAAGGUAGCAUAAUAAUUAGUCUUUUAAUUGAGGACUUGAAUGAAAGAUUUGAUGAGAAAUAGACUUUAUUAUUUAUAGAAUUAAAAUUUUAUUUUUAAGUAAAAAAGCUUAAAUUAUUUAAAGGGACGAUAAGACCCUAUAAAACUUUAUAAAUUUUAAUUUUAAUUUUUUUGGAUUUAUAAAUAUUUUAUUAUUAAAAUUUAUUUUAUUGGGGUGAUAAAAAAAAUUAAUAAACUUUUUUUAAAAUUUAACAUUAUUUAAUGGAUAUUUGAAUUAAAAUUUUUAAUUAAAGGAAAAAGUUACUUUAGGGAUAACAGCGUAAUUAAUUUUUUAAGUUCAAAUUUAAAAAUUAGUUUGCGACCUCGAUGUUGAAUUAAGAUUAAUCUUAGGUGCAAAAUUUUAAGUAUUAGGUCUGUUCGACCUUUAAA